Long non-coding RNA from Scleropages formosus (Asian bonytongue), 695 nucleotides. RefSeq lists it as uncharacterized. The transcript is spliced from 5 exons. The record is from RefSeq and is a predicted model, not a curated record. Lineage: Eukaryota; Metazoa; Chordata; Actinopteri; Osteoglossiformes; Osteoglossidae.
UGGCACUUCUGCUUACUCUCGUGUGCUUUUUAGAGCGAAAAACACUUAAAAUCAAACGUCAGUUUUACUGCUCUGAAACUGUGCAUAUGAAAUUCGGAUUGUACACCGUCACGUCACAAGUUCGAAGCAGUUCCUUGUGAAAAAGCAUGUUCUUACCCUGCCCUGCUGGGUUGUGAACACGAGAAGAGCAGAAAAAAAGCAGCGGCCGCGGAGACACUUGUCACUUCAGCGGAUUCACACCAUUAGCCUUCAUACGACCCAUUUCCUAAAUACUAGUCAAGUACACGGCAAGUAGUAGUAGUAGUGAUCUUUCUCUGAAAGCAACGUUCAUACUAAAAAGCAGCAGUAUGGUCAAAAACUUUUUGGAACUUGAUGACUUUUAUUUGUCAACGAUAUAUUCACACUGGAAAGCUUCAUCUGAGAUAAAUGGGACCGAGUGGUUUGCAGGUGAAGCUCCAGGUGUCUAAAAGUUCAUUGCUUCCCCCAUUGCUUCAAGUAUUCAACUUGAAUUUACUUUAAAGGGAGUCUCAUAAAGGUGAAAGAGCCACACCUGGUGCUCGUUUCCACCUAUCAAGCCCCCAUAUCCCGCCGCCCCCCAGGUACGGCUGUCAGUCUAGGAGUUCCAGACAGAGCCAAGUGCAGAGCAACCAAUAUCAAGACAUUUUCAUACCCCAGUGCAGCAAGUGCGAUAUGAC